AUUUAAGUAGCUUAAAAAAAGCACAAUGUUGAAGCCAUUAAGAUGAACUCCUGUUCCUUGAAUA
Molecule: transfer RNA, 64 nt
Filed under: Singhiella simplex
Lineage: Eukaryota; Metazoa; Arthropoda; Insecta; Hemiptera; Aleyrodidae
Description: tRNA-Phe
Source: RNAcentral